Long non-coding RNA from Leptopilina boulardi, 336 nucleotides. RefSeq lists it as uncharacterized. The record is from RefSeq and is a predicted model, not a curated record. The transcript has 3 exons. Lineage: Eukaryota; Metazoa; Arthropoda; Insecta; Hymenoptera; Figitidae.
UUGAAACACAUGUCAAACAUGUGUUUCAAAAAAGUUUUAUUUUUAAUUUUAAAUUUUCCAAAAAAUUUUUUAAAUCAACAUAUAUAAAAUAAAAAAUCUUUUCAAUUCAACUUUCAAAAUUAAUUAAAGAUGAUUAAAAUUAUUAUAUCUAAAUAAAAUAAACAAAAUUAAACAGACGUGACAAUGUCGAAAUGCAUCUGAUGAGGACACAGAAUUCUGUGUCGAAACGCGUCACAUUUUUAUGUCAAUUCUUCAAUAAACUAAAAGCCAUUUAGGCCAAAAUGAAAAAAACAUCUUUUAAUUGAAAUAUAUUGGCUUUAACCUAAAAAUUUUAAU